This 1642-nucleotide long non-coding RNA is filed under the name Oncorhynchus mykiss (rainbow trout). RNAcentral describes it as "lncRNA (ENSOMYG00000050028.1)". Lineage: Eukaryota; Metazoa; Chordata; Actinopteri; Salmoniformes; Salmonidae. The record is from RNAcentral.
AUGAAGAAGAUGCUGGAGGCAACAAAGCGCUCAGCAGACAGGGUACAUGAUGACACAGAGACGGUGCUGUCGGAGCUCCAGCGCUCAGUGGAGAGGCUCCAGGAGCUGGUGGAGGGUGUGAUGAACCAGGCUGGGCAGGAGAAAGUAAGCGAGGCCCAGGACGUGGUGAACAAGCUGGAGGCCGAGAUCUCGGAGCUGAAGAGGAGAGACAAGGACAUGAAGGAGGUGUUCCGCUGUGAGGACAACAUCCACUUCCUGGAGGUAGGACGCUUGUCUCUUUCUGCUACCUUUUAUAUAUUUUUGAUCCACUUUCGCUGCAUGCAGCUGGUUGAUGGCCAUAUUGGACAUGGCUGCCAGGGUGUGAAAGACCACAUCUGCGAUGGGACAAAAGUUAAAAAGCAGCAUUGUCCUAGUCAUGUUUGAAAUGUGGAGCUUCUAUCACAAAAGGCAUUAUUUCUUAAAUGACGUGUCUUCUUUUUCUGACGUUGCCUUUCUUUCGGUCUUCAUUUCUCCAUCUCUGCCCUCUUCCAUCCCAUCCUCUUCUCCUCAUUUCUCCAUCUCUGCCCUCUUCCAUUCCAUCCUCUUCUCCACUUCCUCCUUCUCCUGUGCGCCGCCCUACAGACCUGUGAGUCUCUGUGCAGCCCGUUUGAGUGUAAUGAUCUGUCGUGUGUGGUGGCCAAUCCAGAGGCUACGUUUGAGCCUGUACGUGAAGCCAUCCUGAACCUACGGGAGAGAGUGGAGGACAUGUGCAACGUGGAACUGGGCAAGAUCACCAAGACAGGUGUGUCAGAGUGGCGGACAUGCAUACUACACACACACACACACACAUCAAUUCACACACACACACACACACACACACACACACAACUUGCAGAGAUCUCUAUCACCAUUACCUUGUCCACUAUAAAUAUAAAUAUUUUUUCCAUACUACGUUUUAGACUGAUAUCAGUGGAUCAAUACAAUGUCAAUGAGUUAAUAAACUGCCAUUUCUCAUCCUUCUCUUCAGUGAAUGACACAACACUGUUCACCUUAGGAGACAAAGGUGAGUUCUGGUCCAGAGAUGUCUCUAGCUCUGGUCCAGGGUGUUCUGUGGGGCUUGAAGAAGGCUCAGCAUAAGCAAGCCACUCGUAAUGCUAGAGCUAGAAGCCAUCGAUUACCAAUAAACAUUUAAAUUGUGGAUUGACAGACUGUACUUACUCACUGCACUGUUUUCCCCAUCAUAGCAAAAAAAAAUGGCGUCCAGAAGACGGGAGGGUUCAGGAGUUGUGAGUAGUUUUCCCAUUUCUUUAUUGGUAGUGUGAGUUGGACUUUAAUAAUUCACUGAGAUUGUGAACUAAUCUGAAUUGGACAUUUUAGUCAACAGCAAAUAAUGUGAGGAAAGGCAAUAUUUAAUUUACGUAGUGCAAAUGCUUUAUACUCAGUGCCUGUUCCUUUUGGUGCUGGUCUUUUCACUUGUCUAGUUGAGUGAUUGGUCAUCAUCAUUAAUUGUGCAGUUUGGAUAUGAAAUACCUAACUUGAAAUAAUGAUUUAUUGUUCCUGAUGAAGGAUCAUCAUAGUCAGGUUUUUAAUAGUUAAACAAAAGGUUUUUAAUAGUUACUGUAUGUUUUUAAUAGUUACAGUAUGUUUUUAAUGGUUAAACAGU